RNA transcript from Arachis stenosperma, 971 nucleotides. RefSeq lists it as uncharacterized. The record is from RefSeq and is a predicted model, not a curated record. The transcript is spliced from 3 exons. NCBI's taxonomy places the organism in Eukaryota, Viridiplantae, Streptophyta, Magnoliopsida, Fabales, Fabaceae.
UGUCUCUUGUUCUGUGAGUUUAAUUGAUUUGGUUUCUAUUUUGAUUUGAAUAUAGAUUUGGUAUAAUGCUGCCUGUUUUGGUCACUGCCUAUCACUGGUUUCUGUUCUGAUAGCUGCUGCUAUUUUUUGCAUUUAAUUUGUUAUUGAUUCAGUAAUUUAUUGUUAUGCUGUUUUUGGUUUUGAUUCACUUCUGUGCUGUUAUUUAGUGUUUGCAUUCUGAUUUUUGUUAUAAUUUCUAAUUUGUUCUUGAUUUUUGGUUGGGCUACUUUCUGCAAUUUUCCAUACAUAAAUUAUGGCUAGGUGGAUAUCAGAGCAGCAACUGAAAUUUACGUGGUUGUUAUACUUUCAAGCACCUCCACCUGCUCUAUCAACUUGUUAUAACUGUUCCUUGAUCAUUGAUACUAUGCUUUGAUUUUUAGACCAGUAUUAAAUCAUAUAUAUAUGGAGAACAUAUUUUUGGCGUCUGAAUUCUGGUAUCUAGUAUCAUUUUAGUGGCCCUAUUAACGACAACUCUUCAUGUUGGUUUCAUAAGUAGAAAACUUAAUUUGGCUUCCUUGAUAAGGCUGACAAACUCAUUUCAGCACAAGAUGGGAGCAGAAUUCCAAUUUGCAAUUUAUUUAGGGAUACCAGCUACUUAUUUUCAUUGCUACUUCAUUAUUUCUCUUCUACAGACUUGUUUUCAAAGCAGACAACCUUGGUUGGAAAAUAUUGUCAACUGCAGUGCCAUUUGCUAUGGCUUUGACAGCUGAUCCUAUUGCUUCACUAGUUGACACAACAUUCAUUGGCCGAAUAGGUUCAUUGAGUGGUUGGGUUGUUGCUGUAGUGGGAGCUGUGGUAAAAGCAUUAAGGAUGCAAAGAAGCUCAAAUCUCUUUUGUUUAUGAUUAGAUAUUGUUAUGACUUAGACUUUUAUUAUGUGAUUUUAAAGUAUCUUAGUUUAUUUGACUUCUAAAAAUUUUUUUAUAGGUCACAA